This 1942-nucleotide long non-coding RNA is filed under the name Vigna radiata. RNAcentral's name for it is "long non-coding RNA (VRAD_LNC006213)". Lineage: Eukaryota; Viridiplantae; Streptophyta; Magnoliopsida; Fabales; Fabaceae. The record is from RNAcentral.
UUGUGUGUCUUCUCUGAUCCUUAUCUCCAUUGUUUCUAGUGUAUGCGUUUGGCGGUGUGCGGUGGAAGCGAUGAGGCUGAAACCCUAGCAGAGCAUCGAAGCUCUAUCUUCUCUCCAGAACUUGUACUUUUACCUUUCUCUCACCAAGUCACGUGUCACAACAAUAUUAAAACAUCAACAUAUAUAUUUUGUGAGUGAUUUUACGCUUCUGCCCUAUUUUCUAAUAGUAAAGGGCGUGCAAUUAAGAUUCCUCGGGUUGAUGGUGGCGGAGAUUGAGGUUGACGAAGGAGAGGGAGAAGAGCGAGUGGGAAACAAAGAUGACGUAGUAGGGGAGGAUUGCGAAGAGAGGGAGAAUGGCGAAGAGGUAUCUCUUCUGAAAAGGGAAGUUGAAGUUUGAAGUGAUUCGCGAAGUGAGGGGUUGGAAGUGGAAGGAAGAGGGAAUCGUAGGCACAUUCCUAUCCUUCCGAUGGAUGAACUUGUCUACUUCGUUAGAAGAUGAGUCCCUUUCCAUUGUUGUCUGGCGGUGACUGGUCACUGAAGGAGGAGGAUGACUGUUGUGUUAGUGUCGCGGUGGAAGUUGAAGGAAGGAAGAAAAUAAUGUCUUGUCUUGUGAACGAAAACGAGAGUGUUUCCGAAGAAGUUUCUGCCAUCCCAUGCUCUAGGUCAAUCAAUUUUAUUCUUAAACAGAUAUUUCGUACACGGAUAUUAACAUAAACAGAUCUCUUAUCCUUCAACAGAGGUAAAUAUUCGUCAGAUAUCCGUUUAAGAAUAAAACGGAUACUAACAUUCGUUCUUAAACAAGUAUUUCGUACAUGGAUAUUAACAUAAAGUAAAUAUUAGUCGACAGAUGUAGAUAUCCGUUUAAGAAUAAAACGGAUACUGACACCCUUAGUGAAAAAUAAAGUUUUUAAUAAAAAAAUAAAUAUUAUAAAAAGGUAAAACAAAUAUUAUAAAAGGGUAAAAGAGAAAUGGAGAAGUACAGGAAGCACUAUGUGGUGGUAGAGAAAGUAACAUCCAAAUAUUUUCCUUUUAACCUUUUAUUUAUAAUGACAUCAAUAACAUCUCAAGAUAUAAAUGUACUUUUAAAUACAUUUUUCCUAUUGACUUAAGAAGACUUAAUGCUUAUCUUAGAACUAAAAUAAAAAUAGAGAAUAAAAUCAUAAGUUAGUAUUCUUAAUAAAAAGAUGGUUCUGUUUUUUUUUUCAUACUUUAUAAUUUUGAAAUAAACCAUAAUUUUAUUUAUAACUGAUUUUGCAAAAAAUAUAUACAAUUUUUAGUUACUUUUUAACUGAUAGAUUUUUUUUAAAAGCAAAUAUAUCUUUUUGUAAUUUCUUGUAUGUGUGUAUAUAUUUGCUACAAAAUUCUUCCAAGUUUUAUUACGAUGGCCAAAACCUAUUGUAUAUAAAAACUAACUAUAAAUUUGUUUAUAAAUAUAUUUUAAUAAAAUAAUUGUACUCUCAAAGAACUAAUGAUGUAAGAUCUAGAAAAUAGAGUAUUAGAGCAAAUAGGUGUAUUAAAAUAAUGAGACCGAUUAUUUUAUUUUAAAAUAAUCUUAUAAUAUAAAUAAAAUAUUUAUAAACGCGUCUCAUUACUUUAAGAACACAUCUCUCUAAAACAUUAUUCCCUACCGUUUCUUUGCCUUCUCUCUAGAUCUUCUCUCAGUUGAGCUGUCGGUUUGAUGAUUAGGAGCUGCCUAGACGAUUUUGACGUCAAGGACAAGAAUCCAGACCAAUAAAUUCCUUGAUUUGAGUCGGUAAGUCAUUUUUCCUUUUUCUGCGUACAUUUCUAACUGUGAUCAUGCAACGAUGGUUGUUUGCAUGUGUUUGGUUGCUUUCCUCUUUAAUUUAUAGCUCAAUCUAGGUUUUAAGAGUUGUUUUCUAUCACCAAUUGGUGAUCUAUAGGUGUUUCUAGAGUUUUCUUGCGGUGCAAGGCAUGGUUGGAG